GGCUCAGGAUGAACGCUAGCGACAGGCCUAACACAUGCAAGUCGAGGGGCAGCACAAGGAGUAAUCUGAGGUGGCGACCGGCGCACGGGUGAGUAACACGUAUGCAACCUGCCUGUAAGCGGGGAAUAACCCGUUGAAAGACGGACUAAUACCGCAUAAUACUAAAUUACUGCAUGGUAAUUUAUUUUAAACAUUUAUGGCUUACAGAUGGGCAUGCGCAUGAUUAGCUAGUUGGAGAGGUAACGGCUCCCCAAGGCAACGAUCAUUAGGGGUUCUGAGAGGAAGGUCCCCCACACUGGUACUGAGACACGGACCAGACUCCUACGGGAGGCAGCAGUGAGGAAUAUUGGUCAAUGGACGAGAGUCUGAACCAGCCAAGUCGCGUGCAGGAAGAAUGUCCCUAUGGAUUGUAAACUGCUUUUGCAGGGGAAUAAAGUGCAUCACGUGUGAUGUUUUGUAUGUACUCUGCGAAUAAGGAUCGGCUAACUCCGUGCCAGCAGCCGC
RNAcentral lists this ribosomal RNA (504 nucleotides) under uncultured bacterium. Its description in RNAcentral is "bacterial SSU rRNA". It matches the Rfam family "Bacterial small subunit ribosomal RNA", at positions 21 to 518 of the family's 1533-position model. The record is from RNAcentral.